RNAcentral lists this ribosomal RNA (1629 nucleotides) under Microthecium tenuissimum. RNAcentral describes it as "SSU rRNA". It matches the Rfam family "Eukaryotic small subunit ribosomal RNA". The record is from RNAcentral. Lineage: Eukaryota; Fungi; Ascomycota; Sordariomycetes; Coronophorales; Ceratostomataceae.
AAAGAUUAAGCCAUGCAUGUCUAAGUAUAAGCAAUUAUACAGCGAAACUGCGAAUGGCUCAUUAUAUAAGUUAUCGUUUAUUUGAUAGUGCCUUACUACUUGGAUAACCGUGGUAAUUCUAGAGCUAAUACAUGCUGAAAGCCCCGACUCACGGAGGGGCGUAUUUAUUAGAUUAAAAACCAAUGCCCUUCGGGGCUCCUUGGUGAUUCAUGAUAACUUCUCGAAUCGCACGGCCUUGCGCCGGCGAUGGUUCAUUCAAAUUUCUUCCCUAUCAACUUUCGAUGUUUGGGUAGUGGCCAAACAUGGUGGCAACGGGUAACGGAGGGUUAGGGCUCGACCCCGGAGAAGGAGCCUGAGAAACGGCUCCUACAUCCAAGGAAGGCAGCAGGCGCGCAAAUUACCCAAUCCCGACUCGGGGAGGUAGUGACAAUAAAUACUGAUGCAGGGCUCUUUAGGGUCUUGCAAUUGGAAUGAGUACAAUUUAAAUCCCUUAACGAGGAACAAUUGGAGGGCAAGUCUGGUGCCAGCAGCCGCGGUAACUCCAGCUCCAAUAGCGUAUAUUAAAGUUGUUGUGGUUAAAAAGCUCGUAGUUGAACCUUGGGCCUGGCCGUCCGGUCCGCCUCACCGCGUGCACUGGCACGGCCGGGCCUUCCCACCGCGGAAUCGCAUGCCCUUUACUGGGCGUGUCGGGGAAGCGGUACUUUUACUGUGAAAAAAUUAGAGUGCUCUAAGCAGGCCUAUGCUCGAAUACAUUAGCAUGGAAUAAUAGAAUAGGACAGGCGUUCUAUUUUGUUGGUUUCUAGGACGUCUGUAAUGAUUAACAGAAACAAUCGGGGGCGUCAGUAUUGCAUCGUCAGAGGUGAAAUUCUUAGAUCGACGCAAGACUAACUACUGCGAAAGCAUUCGCCAAGGGUGUUUUCAUUAAUCAGGAACGAAAGUUAGGGGAUCGAAGACGAUCAGAUACCGUCGUAGUCUUAACCAUAAACUAUGCCGACUAGGGAUCGGGCGGUGUUAAUUUUUGACCCGCUCGGCACCUUACGAGAAAUCUUAAGUGCUUGGGCUCCAGGGGGAGUAUGGUCGCAAGGAUAUUUUUAGGAUUGACAGAUUGAGAGCUCUUUCAUGAUUAAAUAGAUGGUGGUGCAUGGCCGUUCUUAGUUCGUGGUAUGAACUGUCAGCUCAAUUGCGAUAACGAACGAGACCGCGACUGCUAAAUAGCCCGCGCCGCCCCGGCGGCGUGCCGGCUUCUUAGUGGGACUAUCGGCUCAAGCCGAUGGAGGUACGCGUCAAUAACAGGUCUGUGAUGCCCUUAGAUAUCCUGAGCCGCACGCGCGUUACACUGGCAGGGCCAGCGAGUUUUUCCUUGGCCGAGAGGCCCGGGUAAUCUUGUUAAACCCUGCCGUGCUGGGGACAGGGCAUUGUAAUUAUUGCCCUCGAACGAGGAAUCCCUAGUAAGCGCGAGUCAUCAGCUCGCGUUGAUUACGUCCCUGCCCUUUGUACACACCGCCCGUCGCUACUACCGAUUGGACGGCUUAGUGAGGCCUUCGGACUGGACGGCGGAGGCGGGCAACCGCCACCGCUGACCGGAAAGUUGUACGAACUUGGUCGUCUAGAGGAAGUAAAAGUCGUAAC